CCAUCAGGUUAAGCUGGGGACGUCUAAAGGAACUGCCUACGCAAGUAGUGAGGAAGGCGGGGAUGACGUCAAAUCAGCACGGCCCUUACGUCCAGGGCUACACACGUGCUACAAUGGCCGAUACAGAGGGCAGCUACCUGGUGACAGGAUGCAAAUCUCCAAAGUCGGUCUCAGUUCGGAUCGGAGUCUGCAACCCGACUCCGUGAAGUUGGAUUCGCUAGUAAUCGCGCAUCAGCCAUGGCGCGGUGAAUACGUUCCCGGGCCUU
Molecule: ribosomal RNA, 266 nt
Filed under: uncultured Sphingobacteriales bacterium
Lineage: Bacteria; Pseudomonadati; Bacteroidota; Sphingobacteriia; Sphingobacteriales
Description: partial 16S ribosomal RNA
Rfam family: Bacterial small subunit ribosomal RNA
Source: RNAcentral